This 196-nucleotide ribosomal RNA is filed under the name uncultured bacterium. RNAcentral's name for it is "partial 16S ribosomal RNA". It matches the Rfam family "Bacterial small subunit ribosomal RNA", at positions 1307 to 1500 of the family's 1533-position model. The record is from RNAcentral.
GAAAUUACGCCUACAUGAAGUUGGAAUUGCUAGUAAUGGCAGGUCAGCAUACUGCCGUGAAUACGUUCCCGGGCCUUGUACACACCGCCCGUCACACCAUGAGAGUUGGAGAUACCCGAAGCCUGUGAGCUAACUUUUUAAGAGGCAGCAGUCGAAGGUAGAAUCAAUGAUUGGGGUGAAGUCGUAACAAGGUACC